This 67-nucleotide transfer RNA is filed under the name Marmota monax (woodchuck). RNAcentral describes it as "tRNA.Ala". It matches the Rfam family "tRNA". From Rfam's summary of the family: Transfer RNA (tRNA) molecules are approximately 80 nucleotides in length. Their secondary structure includes four short double-helical elements and three loops (D, anti-codon, and T loops). Lineage: Eukaryota; Metazoa; Chordata; Mammalia; Rodentia; Sciuridae. The record is from RNAcentral.
GGUUGUGGCUCAGCGGUAGAGCGCUCGCCUUGCACGUGCUAGACCCUGGGUUCAAUCCUCAGCACCA